RNAcentral lists this small RNA (76 nucleotides) under Xanthomonas fragariae. RNAcentral describes it as "sX9 sRNA". It matches the Rfam family "Xanthomonas sRNA sX9". Lineage: Bacteria; Pseudomonadati; Pseudomonadota; Gammaproteobacteria; Lysobacterales; Lysobacteraceae. The record is from RNAcentral.
AUGUACCACUCCUACACUGCGGUUCCUCCGCGCGAUCCGCACCUACCUGGCGAUUGCUUGCUACGUUUUAUUGGCC